RNAcentral lists this long non-coding RNA (392 nucleotides) under Fukomys damarensis (Damara mole-rat). Its description in RNAcentral is "lncRNA (ENSFDAG00000027925.1)". Lineage: Eukaryota; Metazoa; Chordata; Mammalia; Rodentia; Bathyergidae. The record is from RNAcentral.
CCAUGACUGGCAACUCUUACUACUACGGCUCUCUGUCAAUAAGAACUUCCAAGCAAAAUUUGUUCAGUACUCCUCCCUGGAGAAGUAGUGGAAACAAUUAUAUUUGAUUCCAGAUCCCAGCUCCCCAGAGUUGGGCAGAAGCACAGAAUUCUAGAGUGUUCUUCCCUGGCUGAUUAUGUGGGUGAUGAGAAGUGGUUCUGGCUGCUGGAUUGGGAGUCACAGCUUCUGGGGGUGGAGCAUGCUGGCCGCCUCGCUCUGCCUGAGGCCUGCCAGGCUCUCCCCAUCUCCGGGACUCUGGAAUGGCUAUUACCCCACCCCAUGAAGACACAUGGGGAAAGAGGCAAGGUGAGUGGAACAGAGGGAGAGAGUGAGAAACUGACUCUGACUUCUUU